RNAcentral lists this small RNA (364 nucleotides) under Drosophila pseudoobscura pseudoobscura. RNAcentral's name for it is "GA30833". Lineage: Eukaryota; Metazoa; Arthropoda; Insecta; Diptera; Drosophilidae. The record is from RNAcentral.
UUUUCUCUUCGGAUUUCGGAAGAGUGUUUUACUAUUAAACACAUUUAACAAACUAUGUGUGUACAUACAUACAUAUAUAUUUCCAUGCACAGUUGUUUUAAGUCUUCCGAAUGAACAUUACCCAUUACAUAUCGACUUAUUUAUUGAUCAAUCCCACUGUGCAAAGCUUUUUUGUUGCAGUCAGUUGGUUGGUGGUGCAGUUUUAUAACAAAGGAACUCGAAUGAGAACUGGCAAAUGUAUAUACAGUGCAUAUUCCUGAUAAUGAACCUCAUAUGUAAAACAGAAGCUCCCUACAAAUCGUAAUUUGUAUGGUAUUUAGUAGUGCUUUACUGCCAAACGGAAUAAAAAGGUGCAAAUCUCAAA